Molecule: ribosomal RNA, 100 nt
Filed under: Sulfitobacter sp. R18_1
Lineage: Bacteria; Pseudomonadati; Pseudomonadota; Alphaproteobacteria; Rhodobacterales; Roseobacteraceae
Description: partial 16S ribosomal RNA
Rfam family: Bacterial small subunit ribosomal RNA
Source: RNAcentral
GCUAACCUUUUGGGGGCAGCGGACCACGGUAGGAUCAGCGACUGGGGUGAAGUCGUAACAAGGUAGCCGUAGGGGAACCUGCGGCUGGAUCACCUCCUUU